CCUACGGGAGGCAGCAGUAGGGAAUAUUGCUCAAUGGGGGAAACCCUGAUGCAGCAACGCCGCGUGGAGGAUGAAGGUUUUCGGAAUGUAAACCUCUUUCGGUAGAGAAGAUAAUGACGGUAUCUAACGAAUAAGCACCGGCUAACUACGUGCCAGCAGCCGCGGUAAUACGGAGGGUGCAAGCGUUACUCGGAAUCACUGGGCGUAAAGAGCGCGUAGGCGGGAUAGCAAGUCAGGUGUGAAAUGCUAUGGCUUAACCACAGAACUGCAUUUGAAACUGUUAUUCUAGAGUGUGGGAGAGGUAGGUGGAAUUCUUGGUGUAGGGGUAAAAUCCGUAGAGAUCAAGAGGAACACUCGUUGCGAAGGCGACCUGCUAGAACAUAACUGACGCUGAGGCGCGAAAGCGUGGGGAGCAAACAGGAUUAGAUACCCUUGUAGUC
RNAcentral lists this ribosomal RNA (440 nucleotides) under uncultured bacterium. RNAcentral describes it as "partial 16S ribosomal RNA". It matches the Rfam family "Bacterial small subunit ribosomal RNA", at positions 338 to 795 of the family's 1533-position model. The record is from RNAcentral.